RNAcentral lists this transfer RNA (74 nucleotides) under Sphingomonas sp. Its description in RNAcentral is "tRNA-Pro". It matches the Rfam family "tRNA". Rfam says of the family: Transfer RNA (tRNA) molecules are approximately 80 nucleotides in length. Their secondary structure includes four short double-helical elements and three loops (D, anti-codon, and T loops). Further hydrogen bonds mediate the characteristic L-shaped molecular structure. tRNAs have two regions of fundamental functional importance: the anti-codon, which is responsible for specific mRNA codon recognition, and the 3' end, to which the tRNAs corresponding amino acid is attached (by aminoacyl-tRNA synthetases). tRNAs cope with the degeneracy of the genetic code in two manners: having more than one tRNA (with a specific anti-codon) for a particular amino acid; and 'wobble' base-pairing, i.e. permitting non-standard base-pairing at the 3rd anti-codon position. RNAcentral also lists the same sequence under 1 other name. The record is from RNAcentral. Lineage: Bacteria; Pseudomonadati; Pseudomonadota; Alphaproteobacteria; Sphingomonadales; Sphingomonadaceae.
CGGGAUGUAGCGCAGCCCGGUAGCGCGUCCGUCUGGGGGGCGGGAGGCCGCAGGUUCAAAUCCUGUCAUCCCGA